RNAcentral lists this ribosomal RNA (499 nucleotides) under uncultured bacterium. Its description in RNAcentral is "partial 16S ribosomal RNA". It matches the Rfam family "Bacterial small subunit ribosomal RNA", at positions 28 to 523 of the family's 1533-position model. The record is from RNAcentral.
GAUGAACGCUGGCGGCGUGCCUAACACAUGCAAGUCGGGCGAGAAAUUUUAAAGCGAAACUUCGGUCUAGCGAUAAAAUGGAAAGCGGCGGACGGGUGAGUAACGCGUAGGCAACCUGCCCUUUACAGAGGGAUAGCCUCGGGAAACCGGGAUUAAGACCUCAUAACAUCAUAUUAAGGCAUCUUGAUAUGGUCAAAGGAGAAAUCUGGUAAGAGAUAGACCUGCGUCUGAUUAGCUAGUUGGUAAGGUAAAGGCUUACCAAGGCGACGAUCAGUAGCCGAACUGAGAGGUUGAUCGGCCACAUUGGGACUGAGACACGGCCCAAACUCCUACGGGAGGCAGCAGUGGGGAAUAUUGCUCAAUGGAGGAAACUCUGAAGCAGCAACGCCGCGUGAAGGAUGAAGGUUUUCGGAUUGUAAACUUCUUUGAAUGGGGGCGAAGAAAGUGACGGUACCCAUAAAACAAGCCACGGCUAACUACGUGCCAGCAGCCGCGGUAA